GAUGAAGAACGUAGCGAAAUGCGAUAAGUAAUGUGAAUUGCAGAAUUCAGUGAAUCAUCGAAUCUUUGAACGCACAUUGCGCCCGCUAGUAUUCUGGCGGGCAUGCCUGUUCGAGCGUCAUUUCAACCCUCAGGCCCCCAGUGCCUGGCGUUGGGGAUCGGCCGCUGGCGUCCUUCGGGGCGCCUGGCCGGCCCCGAAAUCUAGUGGCGGUCUCGCUGUAGUCCUCCUCUGCGUAGUAGCACAACCUCGCAACGGGAACGUGACGGCGGCCACUGCCGUAAAACAACCCAAUUUUAUUAGAGUUGACCUCGAAUCAGGUAGGAAUACCCGCUGAACUUAAGCAUAUCAAUAAGCGGAGGA
Molecule: unclassified non-coding RNA, 360 nt
Filed under: soil metagenome
Description: partial contains 5.8S ribosomal RNA, internal transcribed spacer 2, and large subunit ribosomal RNA
Rfam family: 5.8S ribosomal RNA (bases 1-120)
Source: RNAcentral